This 328-nucleotide ribosomal RNA is filed under the name uncultured bacterium. RNAcentral's name for it is "bacterial SSU rRNA". It matches the Rfam family "Bacterial small subunit ribosomal RNA", at positions 151 to 507 of the family's 1533-position model. The record is from RNAcentral.
CCGAAAGUGGUCUAAUACUUCAUAAUAUCCAUCUCGUAUGGAUUAAAGCUUUAUGCGCUUUGGGAGGGGCCUGCGUAACAUUAGCUUGUUGGUGAGGUAAAAGCUCACCAAGGCUUCGAUGUUUAACUGGUUUGAGAGGAUGACCAGUCACACUGGGACUGAGAUACGGCCCAGACUCCUACGGGAGGCAGCAGUAAGGAAUCUUCCACAAUGGGGCAACCCUGAUGGAGCAAUACCGCGUGCAGGAUGAAGCGUUUCGGCGUGUAAACUGCUUUUAUCACCGAAGAUUAUGACUGUAGGUGAAGAAUAAGGACCGGCUAACUACGUG